CCUACGGGAGGCAGCAGUGAGGAAUAUUGGUCAAUGGACGGAAGUCUGAUGCAGCGACGCCGCGUGAGUGAAGAAGUAUCUCGGUACGUAAAGCUCUAUCAGCAGGGAAGAAAAUGACGGUACCUGACUAAGAAGCCCCGGCUAACUACGUGCCAGCAGCCGCGGUAAUACGUAGGGGGCAAGCGUUAUCCGGAUUUACUGGGUGUAAAGGGAGCGUAGACGGCAGCACAAGUCUGGAGUGAAAUCCCGGGGCUUAACCCCGGAACUGCUUUGGAAACUGUGCGGCGGGAGUGCAGGAGGGGUAAGCGGAAUUCCUAGUGUAGCGGUGAAAUGCGUAGAUAUUAGGAGGAACACCGGUGGCGAAGGCGGCUUACUGGACUGUAACUGACGUUGAGGCUCGAAAGCGUGGGGAGCAAACAGGAUUAGAUACCCCAGUAGUC
Molecule: ribosomal RNA, 440 nt
Filed under: uncultured bacterium
Lineage: Bacteria
Description: partial 16S ribosomal RNA
Rfam family: Bacterial small subunit ribosomal RNA
Source: RNAcentral